Neopelma chrysocephalum (saffron-crested tyrant-manakin) is the source of this 267-nucleotide long non-coding RNA. RefSeq lists it as uncharacterized. The transcript is spliced from 2 exons. Lineage: Eukaryota; Metazoa; Chordata; Aves; Passeriformes; Pipridae. The record is from RefSeq and is a predicted model, not a curated record.
UGCCACUUACCCUGAAGAAAAUGACCCAUUAGGUAGAAGUAAUGCUCCAUGUUUUCACAAAGUAGAAGAUAAUUAUGGGAUAUGAAGACCAGUUAGAAACCAGAAUAAUUAUUUCUGUUAUACAUUUAUUAUCUCUGAUGGAGCUUCAAGUCAAACAGGAAUACAUGUGCUACACAGAAAGAAAACAGACUUAGAAAAUCAGAUAGCGGAUGGUAAUGGAUUUCAGAACAACCUGGAGUUUUGAAAUUGACUGCAAUAAAAAUUAAC